This 395-nucleotide ribosomal RNA is filed under the name uncultured bacterium. Its description in RNAcentral is "partial 16S ribosomal RNA". It matches the Rfam family "Bacterial small subunit ribosomal RNA", at positions 523 to 918 of the family's 1533-position model. The record is from RNAcentral.
AUACGUAGGGUGCAAGCGUUAAUCGGAAUUACUGGGCGUAAAGCGUGCGCAGGCGGUUUUGUAAGACAGAGGUGAAAUCCCCGGGCGCAACCCGGGAACUGCCUUUGUGACUGCAAGGCUAGAGUCCGGCCGAGGGGGAUGGGAUUCCGCGUGGAGCGGUGAAAUGCGUAGAUAUGCGGAGGAACACCGAUGGCGAAGGCAAUCCCCUGGGCCUGUACUGACGCUCAUGCACGAAAGCGUGGGGAGCAAACAGGAUUAGAUACCCUGGUAGUCCACGCCCUAAACGAUGUCAACUGGUUGUUGGGUCUUCAUUGACUCAGUAACGAAGCUAACGCGUGAAGUUGACCGCCUGGGGAGUACGGCCGCAAGGUUGAAACUCAAAUGAAUUGGCGGGG